RNAcentral lists this ribosomal RNA (240 nucleotides) under uncultured bacterium. RNAcentral's name for it is "partial 16S ribosomal RNA". It matches the Rfam family "Bacterial small subunit ribosomal RNA", at positions 94 to 334 of the family's 1533-position model. The record is from RNAcentral.
AGCGGCGGACGGGUGAGUAACGCGUGGGUGACCUGCCCCGUACCGGGGGAUAACAGCUGGAAACGGCUGCUAAUACCGCAUAAGCGCACAGAGCUGCAUGGCUCGGUGUGAAAAACUCCGGUGGUAUGGGAUGGGCCCGCGUCUGAUUAGGCAGUUGGCGGGGUAACGGCCCACCAAACCGACGAUCAGUAGCCGGCCUGAGAGGGCGACCGGCCACAUUGGGACUGAGACACGGCCCAA